This is a long non-coding RNA of Cynoglossus semilaevis (tongue sole), 1157 nucleotides long. RefSeq lists it as uncharacterized. The transcript has 3 exons. The record is from RefSeq and is a predicted model, not a curated record. NCBI's taxonomy places the organism in Eukaryota, Metazoa, Chordata, Actinopteri, Pleuronectiformes, Cynoglossidae.
UUUUUGGUCCCUGCAGGGUGCAAGAAAGAGACGUGACCACGUGGGUAAAGAUGGCAGAAGAAAAGUUAUUUCCUCGAACAGUGUAUUGAAUCAGGCGUGUGGGAUUAUUUUGACUACAGACAAAUACAUUCAACAUGUUUCAUCACCUGCGGGGGAACCACCCGACAUUGUUCACCAAAGCAAAGACGUCUCUAGCACCGUUGGAUGUUCAGGCAUUCACAUGCCCCACAUCUUUAACAUCUUCAGAGAGAAACAUUUGCCACCAUUACCUCUAAAGAACCCCAAAAUGCCAAAAAUGGCAAAGUCGUUUAAGUCAGAGGAGGGAAUGUCACAGCCGGGAAGGCACACAAGCCCAGGAGAGGAGGCUGUGAGGGAAAAGAACAAGAGUGUCAUAUCCAUUUGUAACUCCCACCGUGAUGUCAGGACGCCGGCGGGGGAUUCACCAGCUGUACAGUUACUCUGACGGAUGCAGGUGGGUGCCCUGUCUCUCAACCUAUACGCUCAUCUGUAAAGAUCUGUCUGUUUGUCUCUUCUGCGUGAACCUGUGGCUGAUAGACGGAGACAGCAGAAGAUGACAAACGGUGUCUGCGGUUGAAAUGAGGGUUACAAAGUUAAGAAUAAAGGUGAGAGAGAGAGCGUGAACAGAGAAGUGGCAGAGAUCGGGAGUAAAUGACAGAAGUCAGCAAAGUGUCACGGUGCCUGAUGGAGAGGAAGUUGGACGUAACAAGAGUACAUUACAAAGUUUUCUGUCCAUUCUGCCUGCGAUUGAACUUUUCCCCCCUCAAUUCUGAUUAAAUAUUAAAGCGUUGUAAUUAAAAGGUGACAAAGUAGGAUGCCACAGGGGGCUCAGGCUUUAUUGAUCCAGCAGUGACAAAGUAGGGCUUGUAACCCGCAGUGUGGGAGAGUGUUUGGUUGUUGGGCAGCCGUUGAAUUUGUUUUAGUCUUUCUUUUUUUUUUUGUGCUAAAAUGUUGAUACUUCAGUAUGAAGCCAUAAGACACGUUUCCUUUUUUCACAAAUCAAACUUCAAAUAAAAGCAAUGACUACUGCCUACAGCUGAAGUUGUCCACUAGAGGGCUUGAAAGACUAGGUGUGCAGACCUGGGCAACAUGCGGCCUUUAGCAUCUUUGUGUAAGAUCAUAUUUGACUGAUGCGUCAA